UACGAAGGGGGCUAGCGUUGCUCGGAAUCACUGGGCGUAAAGGGUGCGUAGGCGGGUCUUUAAGUCAGGGGGGAAAUCCUGGAGCUCAACUCCAGAACUGCCUUUGAUACUGAAGAUCUUGAGUUCGGGAGAGGUGAGUGGAACUGCGAGUGUAGAGGUGAAAUUCGUAGAUAUUCGCAAGAACACCAGUGGCGAAGGCGGCUCACUGGCCCGGUACUGACGCUGAGGUGCGAAAGCGUGGGGAGCAAACAGG
This 253-nucleotide ribosomal RNA is filed under the name uncultured bacterium. Its description in RNAcentral is "partial 16S ribosomal RNA". It matches the Rfam family "Bacterial small subunit ribosomal RNA", at positions 524 to 776 of the family's 1533-position model. The record is from RNAcentral.